AAAUAAAAAAAUAAAUAUUUUUGGUAAAAAAUUAGGUAUUUAUAAAUUAAGAAGGGCGUAAUUAUUAUACGAAAAAUUUUAUUGAGUUAAAAACUAAAACAUUAAUUUAAAAAUACCCUAAUAUGUUAACAUUUUAAACUAUUACAAAAUAAAUAUGUAAUAAGAAUAAACUCAGAAAAUUGAAAUAUCUUAAUAUCUUAUGGAAAAUAAAAUUAAAAAUUAUGAUUCUCAAAAUAUUGAUGAAAGAAAUGAGAAAUAAACCUACUAUAAUUGUAAAAAUAAGUAAUUUAUAUUUUUAUUAAUAAAAAUAUAAAUUACCUUAGAUGGUAUUAGUCCAGUCAUUAAUGAAUAUUUAAAUAAUAAAAAAUUAUUAAAUAAAUUAAGAGAUUCACCUCAUUAGGUUAAAUAUAUUAUGAAUAACCGAUAGUGUACAUAAGUACUGUGAAGGAAAAUUGAAAAGAAUCAAAUUUAAAAUUAUGAAGUGAAAUAGAAAUUAAAAUAAAAAAAAAAACCAUAAAUAUAUUUAUCGUAUAAUUUAAUAUUUAAUAUUUAAUAUUUACUAAAAUUCAUUAAAUAUUAAAAAUUCAAAAUGCAUACCUGUUGAAGAAUGAGUCCUCGACUUUUAAAUAUUGGCUAUUGAAACAAAAACAAAAUUAUUUUAAUAUCUAAGUGAAAACAUUAUAUAUAUAUAUAUAUUUGCCAUUUUUUAUAUACCCGAAACUGAGUGAUCUAAUUAUAUAUAAGAUAAAUAUAUAUAUAUAUAUAUAUAUAUUGGUCUGUACCAAUUAAUUAUGCAAAAUUAUUGGAUAAAAUAUAAUUAGUGGUGAAAUAUUAAUCGAACUCAGAGAUAUCUGGUUCCCUCCGAAAUGUGUUUUAGCACAGCAAUUAUUUUAUUUAAUAAAAGGGUAAAGCUCUAUUUUGAAUAUGUUAAUAUUUAUAAUAAAAUAUUAAACUAAAUUAAGAUAAACUAAUAAUAUUUUAAUUAUAUUUUAUAAUGAGUGAGACAAUGGGGGAAAAGCUUCAUUGUCAAAAGGGAAACAGCCCAUAUUUUUGAUUAAGGUUCUUAAAUUAUGAGUUAUUUAUUAAGGAAGUAAAUAAAUAAAAACAUAUAACAGGUUUGCUUAGAAGCAGCCAACCUUUAAAAAAAGCAUAAUUGCAUAUUAUAAAAUUUUUUUUUUGCAUCAAAAAUUAUAAGGAUUUAACUUUUAUACCGAAAUUAAAAAAAUAUAUUUUUAUAUAUUUGGUAGGAGGGCGUUCUAAUUUAAUUACAAAGUAAAAAAAAAAAUUAGAAGUGAUAAUGAGGAUUUAAAUAAUAUUAUAUUGAAAACUUAAUCAAUACUCUAAAAUACUAAUGAUUUCAAAAUAUUAUAUGAGUAAGUCAGAAUCUAAAAUAAUUUCGAAAGAAAAAAAUUGAUGAAAAAUAGGUAAAAAUUCCUAUACUAUAUAAAAUAUAAUAUAAAAAUUAAAUAAUAUUAAACAAAAAAUGGUACUUGUGUUUAAAAGAAUUAAAUAUAUAAUAGAAUUUAUAGAGAAAAUAUAAAUAAUUAAAAUUCAAUUAAUUAUGUAUAUUUUACAUACAAAAAUAAUAUUUAAAUAAUUUUCAAGAAAUAAAAUUAUAAAAAAUAUCUGUACAUAAUACCAAAUAUAGGUAGUUAAGUAAAAAAUACUAAAGAGUUCGAAAUAAUUAAAUCUAAGGAACUCGGCAAAAAAAUUUUUUAAUUUAUAAAAAAACGUCUUUAAAACAGAUUGCAAUAACAAAAUUCAAGCGACUGUUUAACAAAAACAUAAGUUCCCGCAAAAUUGUAAGAUUGUGUAGGGGAGCUGACGUCUGCCCGGUGCUGUAAAAUAAAAAAUUUUUAAUAUCUUUUUUAUUAAAAGGUUAUUAAAAACAAAAUUCCAGUUAACGGCGGCUGUAACUAUAACGGUCCUAAGGUAGCGAAAUUCCUUGUCGGGUGAGUUCCGACCUGCAUGAAAGACGUAACGACUUGAAAACUGUCUCAGAUUUAAAUUCGAUAAAAUAACUUUUUCUGUGAAGAUGCGGAAUAAUUUUACCUGGACAGAAAGACCCUAUGAAACUUUACUGUUUUUUUAAAUUGAUUUUUUAUUAUUAAUUGUAUAGUAUUUAAGUGGUAGAUAGUUUUUUUUUUAUCGUUUAUUGGAAACCCACUCUUUAAAUAGAAUAAAUAAACUAAUUUUAUAAUUUUAAUUUAAAAAAAAAAUUAUUUUUUUUAAAGACACUUUAUGAUAGACAGUUUAUAUGGGGCAUAGGCCUCCAAAAAGGUAAUGGGGGUGUUUUUUUUGUUAUAUUGAAUCAUAUUUUUUAUUAUUGUUUUAUUUAAAGUAUAAAGAUAAAAUAUAGCUUAAUUGUAAGACAAACAUGUCAAACAAAAACGAAAGUUUAUCUUAAUGAUUUGAUAUUUAAUUAUUGUGAAAGAUUUAUCAAUCAACGAAUUAAAGUUACUCUAGGGAUAACAGGCUUAUCAUACCCGAGAGUCCAUAUUGACGGUAUGGUUUGGCACCUCGAUGUCGGUUCAUCACUACCUGAAGCAGUAGUAUGUUUCAAGGGUUAGGCUGUUCGCCUAUUAAAGUGGUACGUGAGCUGGGUUCAGAACGUCGUGAGACAGUUCGGUCCUUAUCCGGUGAAAUUUGAAUAUUUAAGAUAUUUUUCUUUAAUACGAGAGGACCAAGAAAAAUAUAUUACUAGUGUUUUAUUUAUCGAACCUUCGGUAUUGUUAAAUAGCUAUAUAUAUAUAUAUAAAUUGCUGAAAGAAUCUAAGUAAUAAAAAAAAUCUAAAUAAAAAUAUAUUCA
This 2809-nucleotide ribosomal RNA is filed under the name Rhopalocnemis phalloides. Its description in RNAcentral is "23S ribosomal RNA". It matches the Rfam family "Bacterial large subunit ribosomal RNA". Lineage: Eukaryota; Viridiplantae; Streptophyta; Magnoliopsida; Santalales; Balanophoraceae. The record is from RNAcentral.